AUACGUAUGUCGCAAGCGUUAUCCGGAUUUAUUGGGCGUAAAGCGCGUCUAGGCGGCUUAGUAAGUCUGAUGUGAAAAUGCGGGGCUCAACCCCGUAUUGCGUUGGAAACUGCUACACUAGAGUACUGGAGAGGUAGGCGGAACUACAAGUGUAGAGGUGAAAUUCGUAGAUAUUUGUAGGAAUGCCGAUGGGGAAGCCAGCCUACUGGACAGAUACUGACGCUAAAGCGCGAAAGCGUGGGUAGCAAACAGGAUUAGAUACCCUGGUAGUCCACGCCGUAAACGAUGAUUACUAGGUGUUGGGGGUCGAACCUCAGCGCCCAAGCUAACGCGAUAAGUAAUCCGCCUGGGGAGUACGGCCGCAAGGCUUAAACUCAAAUGAAUUGGCGGG
RNAcentral lists this ribosomal RNA (391 nucleotides) under uncultured bacterium. RNAcentral describes it as "partial 16S ribosomal RNA". It matches the Rfam family "Bacterial small subunit ribosomal RNA", at positions 523 to 917 of the family's 1533-position model. The record is from RNAcentral.